GAUGAACGCUGGCGGCGUGCCUAAUACAUGCAAGUCGAGCGAACGGACGAGAAGCUUGCUUCUCUGAUGUUAGCGGCGGACGGGUGAGUAACACGUGGAUAACCUACCUAUAAGACUGGGUUAACUUCGGGAAACCGAAGCAAUUACCGGUUAAUAUUUUGACCCCAUGGGUUCAAAAUUAAAAGCGGUUUUUGUUGUACCUUUAGAUUGGAUCCGCGCUGCAUUAGCUAGUUGGUAAGGUAACGGCUUACCAAGGCAACGAUGCAUAGCCGACCUGAGAGGGUGAUCGGCCACACUGGAACUGAGACACGGUCCAGACUCCUACGGGAGGCAGCAGUAGGGAAUCUUCCGCAAUGGGCGAAAGCCUGACGGAGCAACGCCGCGUGAGUGAUGAAGGUCUUCGGAUCGUAAAACUCUGUUAUUAGGGAAGAACAUAUGUGUAAGUAACUGUGCACAUCUUGACGGUACCUAAUCAGAAAGCCACGGCUAACUACGUG
This 497-nucleotide ribosomal RNA is filed under the name uncultured bacterium. RNAcentral's name for it is "partial 16S ribosomal RNA". It matches the Rfam family "Bacterial small subunit ribosomal RNA", at positions 28 to 507 of the family's 1533-position model. The record is from RNAcentral.